AUUUUGAUAGAAAAAUAAGAAGAAUUAUGGUAGAUUAAUUAAGUUUGAUUUAUUAAACUUUAAAUUAAUUUAAAAAUUCAAUUUGUAUUGGUUGAUUAUUAUAAAAUUAUUUUAUAAAUGGUUAUUUUAAAUAUAACUUUGCUUUGAAAACAUAAAAGGUAUUUUUGAAAGAAAACUUGAUAGACUCGAGAACUUUAUUCGCUCUUUUAUAUAUAGUACAGAUAGAUAUUAAUCUAGA
This 238-nucleotide long non-coding RNA is filed under the name Ananas comosus (pineapple). RNAcentral's name for it is "long non-coding RNA (ACOM_LNC037235)". Lineage: Eukaryota; Viridiplantae; Streptophyta; Magnoliopsida; Poales; Bromeliaceae. The record is from RNAcentral.